GACGUAGGGGGCGAGCGUUGUCCGGAUUCACUGGGCGUAAAGCGCGCGUAGGCGGCUCGUUAAGUCGGAUGUGAAACCCCGGGGCUCAACCCCGGGCCUGCACCCGAUACUGGCGGGCUGGAGGCAGGUAGGGGAGAUCGGAAUUCCCGGUGUAGCGGUGAAAUGCGCAGAUAUCGGGAGGAACACCGGUGGCGAAGGCGGAUCUCUGGGCCUGUCCUGACGCUCAGGCGCGAAAGCUAGGGGAGCAAACAGG
RNAcentral lists this ribosomal RNA (253 nucleotides) under uncultured bacterium. RNAcentral describes it as "partial 16S ribosomal RNA". It matches the Rfam family "Bacterial small subunit ribosomal RNA", at positions 524 to 776 of the family's 1533-position model. The record is from RNAcentral.